CGCCACCCGCCGCCGCACUGGAGGGAUUUCUGACCGCCGAUCGAGGUAAAUUUCAUACCCCCGACUCGUUUUUCCACGCUGAUUUCCCCUGUGGCCAAAUCGGAGCCAAAAUCUUGGCCAAACGACCGAAGCCCAGCGGCGCCGCCGCAUCCCUCCUCGAUUUUUUCCUCCGAUGAGGCCCUUCCUGGCCUCCGUUUAAUGCAAUUUUUAUAUUACCGUGAUCACCAUUCUUUUCUCUACAGGUUGAUCGGAGCUGAAUCACUAAAACACGAAUUUCACCGGAGAGCCGUCGCACCCGAGAGCACCGCCGCCGGUAAGCUUCGGUUUUCCGUAAUUUUUUGGCCCCUCGAGGGCCCUAGAGUUGUUUAAUCACAAU
This 376-nucleotide long non-coding RNA is filed under the name Carica papaya (papaya). Its description in RNAcentral is "long non-coding RNA (CPAP_LNC005996)". Lineage: Eukaryota; Viridiplantae; Streptophyta; Magnoliopsida; Brassicales; Caricaceae. The record is from RNAcentral.